This 460-nucleotide ribosomal RNA is filed under the name uncultured bacterium. RNAcentral describes it as "partial 16S ribosomal RNA". It matches the Rfam family "Bacterial small subunit ribosomal RNA", at positions 338 to 795 of the family's 1533-position model. The record is from RNAcentral.
CCUACGGGUGGCAGCAGUGAGGAAUAUUGGUCAAUGGGCGGAAGCCUGAACCAGCCAAGUAGCGUGCAGGAUGACGGCCCUACGGGUUGUAAACUGCUUUUAUACGGGAAUAACGCGCCUUACGUGUAGGGCUUUGCAUGUACCGUAUGAAUAAGGACCGGCUAAUUCCGUGCCAGCAGCCGCGGUAAUACGGAAGGUCCGGGCGUUAUCCGGAUUUAUUGGGUUUAAAGGGAGCGUAGGCCGCAUGUCAAGCGUGCUGUGAAAUGUCCGGGCUCAACCCGGGCCUUGCAGCGCGAACUGGCGGGCUUGAGUCCGCGGAAAGCAGGCGGAAUUCGUCGUGUAGCGGUGAAAUGCUUAGAUAUGACGAAGAACCCCGAUUGCGAAGGCGGCUUACUGGACUGUAACUGACGUUGAGGCUCGAAAGCGUGGGGAGCAAACAGGAUUAGAUACCCGUGUAGUC